This 555-nucleotide ribosomal RNA is filed under the name uncultured bacterium. RNAcentral's name for it is "bacterial SSU rRNA". It matches the Rfam family "Bacterial small subunit ribosomal RNA", at positions 38 to 573 of the family's 1533-position model. The record is from RNAcentral.
GGCGGCGUGCUUAACACAUGCAAGUCGUGCGCGAAGGUGGCUUCGGCUGCCGGAGAGCGGCGAACGGGUGAGUAACACGUGGGUAAUCUGCCUGGGAGCGUGGGAUAACCUGGGGAAACUCGGGCUAAUACCGCGUACGUUGAUGGGACUACGGUUUUGUCAAGAAAGCUGGCCUCUGUUUACAAGCUAGCGCUCCCAGAGGAGCCCGCGGCUGAUUAGCUAGUUGGUGAGGUAAAGGCUCACCAAGGCUUCGAUCAGUAGCCGGCCUGAGAGGGUGAUCGGCCACACUGGGACUGAGACACGGCCCAGACUCCUACGGGAGGCAGCAGUGGGGAAUAUUGGACAAUGGGCGCAAGCCUGAUCCAGCAACGCCGCGUGGAGGAUGAAGGUCUUCGGAUCGUAAACUCCUGUCAGAUGGGACGAAGGCUUGGAGGCGAACAGUUUCCGAGUUUGACGGUACCAUCAGAGGAAGCCCCGGCUAACUCCGUGCCAGCAGCCGCGGUAAUACGGAGGGGGCGAGCGUUAUUCGGAAUUAUUGGGCGUAAAGGGCGCGUA